RNAcentral lists this ribosomal RNA (275 nucleotides) under uncultured soil bacterium. RNAcentral describes it as "partial 16S ribosomal RNA". It matches the Rfam family "Bacterial small subunit ribosomal RNA", at positions 26 to 285 of the family's 1533-position model. The record is from RNAcentral.
AGAAUCAACGCUGGCGGCGUGCCUCAGACAUGCAAGUCGAACGCGAAAGUCCCCUUCGGGGGCAAGUAGAAUGGCGCACGGGUGAGUAACACGUAGGUAAUCUACCUUUGGAUGGGGAAUAACAACCGGAAACGGUUGCUAAUACCGCAUAAUGCAGCGGCACCUAAUGGUGACAGUUGUUAAAGCGGGGGAUCGAAAGACCUCGCGUCUGAAGAGGAGCCUGCGGCGGAUUAGCUGGUUGGUAGGGUAACGGCCUACCAAGGCUACGAUCCGUA